Molecule: ribosomal RNA, 433 nt
Filed under: uncultured bacterium
Lineage: Bacteria
Description: partial 16S ribosomal RNA
Rfam family: Bacterial small subunit ribosomal RNA
Source: RNAcentral
AACGAACGCUGGCGGCAUGCCUAACACAUGCAAGUCGAACGAGACCUUCGGGUCUAGUGGCGCACGGGUGCGUAACGCGUGGGAACCUGCCCUUAGGUUCGGAAUAACUCCCCGAAAGGGGUGCUAAUACCGGAUAAUGUCUUCGGACCAAAGAUUUAUCGCCUUUGGAUGGGCCCGCGUUGGAUUAGCUAGUUGGUAGGGUAAAAGCCUACCAAGGCGACGAUCCAUAGCUGGUCUGAGAGGAUGAUCAGCGACACUGGGACUGAGACACGGCCCAGACUCCUACGGGAGGCAGCAGUGGGGAAUAUUGGACAAUGGGCGAAAGCCUGAUCCAGCAAUGACGCGUGAGUGAUGAAGGCCUUAGGGUUGUAAAGCUCUUUUACCCGGGAUGAUAAUGACAGUACCGGGAGAAUAAGCUCCGGCUAACUCCGUG